GAUGAACGCUAGCGGCAGGCUUAACACAUGCAAGUCGAGGGGUAUAGUAGCAAUACUAGAGACCGGCGCACGGGUGCGUAACGCGUAUGCAACCUACCUUUUACAGAGGGAUAGCCCAGAGAAAUUUGGAUUAAUACCUCAUAGUGUUAUUAGAUGGCAUCAUUUGAUAACUAAAGUUCCAACGGUAAAAGAUGGGCAUGCGUCCUAUUAGCUAGAUGGUAAGGUAACGGCUUACCAUGGCUACGAUAGGUAGGGGUCCUGAGAGGGAGAUCCCCCACACUGGUACUGAGACACGGACCAGACUCCUACGGAGGCAGCAGUGA
RNAcentral lists this ribosomal RNA (323 nucleotides) under uncultured bacterium. Its description in RNAcentral is "bacterial SSU rRNA". It matches the Rfam family "Bacterial small subunit ribosomal RNA", at positions 28 to 357 of the family's 1533-position model. The record is from RNAcentral.